AACGAGCGCUGGCGGCAGGCUUAACACAUGCAAGUCGAACGCUCGUAGCAAUACGGGAGUGGCGGACGGGUGAGUAACGCGUGGGAACGUGCCCUGAGGUACGGAAUAACUGAGGGAAACUUCAGCUAAUACCGUAUGAGCCCCGAGAGGGGGAAAGAUUUAUCGCCUUGGGAGCGGCCCGCGUCGGAUUAGCUAGUUGGUGGGGUAACGCCCACCAAGGCUUCGAUCCGUAGCUGGUCUGAGAGGACGAUCAGCCACACUGGGACUGAGACACGGCCCAGACUCCUACGGGAGGCAGCAGUGGGGAAUCUUGCGCAAUGGGGGCAACCCUGACGCAGCCAUGCCGCGUGAACGAUGAAGGCCUUAGGGUUGUAAAGUUCUUUUACCCGUGACGAUGAUGACGGUAACGGGGAUAAGCUCCGGCUAACUUCGUGCCAGCAGCCGCGGUAAU
Molecule: ribosomal RNA, 451 nt
Filed under: uncultured bacterium
Lineage: Bacteria
Description: bacterial SSU rRNA
Rfam family: Bacterial small subunit ribosomal RNA
Source: RNAcentral